UACGUAGGCAGCAAGCGUUGUUCGGAGUUACUGGGCGUAAAGGGCUCGUAGGCGGCCCUCUCAGUCGGAUGUGAAAUCCCCAGGCUUAACCUGGGAACGGCAUCCGAUACUGGAGGGCUUGAAUUCGGGAGAGGGAUGCAGAAUUCCAGGUGUAGCGGUGAAAUGCGUAGAUAUCUGGAGGAAUACCGGUGGCGAAGGCGGCAUCCUGGACCGAGAUUGACGCUGAGGAGCGAAAGCUAGGGGAGCAAACGGG
Molecule: ribosomal RNA, 253 nt
Filed under: uncultured bacterium
Lineage: Bacteria
Description: partial 16S ribosomal RNA
Rfam family: Bacterial small subunit ribosomal RNA
Source: RNAcentral